UACAGAGGUGGCAAGCGUUGUUCGGAAUUACUGGGCGUAAAGGGCGCGUAGGCGGCCUUGUAAGUCCUGUGUGAAAUCCCCCGGCUCAACUGGGGAACUGCACAGGAGACUGCUUGGCUUGGGUUCGGGAGAGGGAAGCGGAAUUCCGGGUGUAGCGGUGAAAUGCGUAGAUAUCCGGAGGAACACCGGUGGCGAAGGCGGCUUCCUGGACCGACACUGACGCUGAGGCGCGAAAGCCAGGGGAGCAAACGGG
RNAcentral lists this ribosomal RNA (253 nucleotides) under uncultured bacterium. RNAcentral describes it as "partial 16S ribosomal RNA". It matches the Rfam family "Bacterial small subunit ribosomal RNA", at positions 524 to 776 of the family's 1533-position model. The record is from RNAcentral.